UUUAUUGCAUCGAGAUUUGUGGUUUUUGGCCGUUCACCUAUUCACCCCCCUCUAGGUGAUAGAUACAAUCUAGAUAGAUCCUUGGGCUCUUCAAAACUUUCAUAUAUAUAUUGUCCGGCUAUGGUGCUUGUAAAAGCACCAAGCACUUGGUGCUUGUAAGUUUUUUACCGUUAGAUCUACUCCUCGGAUCAUUUUCAACCAUUAGAUUAUACUAUUCAACCAACCCACUCAACCCUAGGGGACCCACAUCAUCCUAACCGCAUAUCUCUUAAUCCAAUGGCUAAAAAUCUACAAGCAUCAAUAACUUGAUACUUUUAAAAGCAUAGGAGCUCAAUUAUAUAUAUAUAUAUAUAUAUAGUAGGGCUAUUAUACUAUUAUGAGUAUUGGGCCCUUCGCACUCAUAAGUUGUUUUCGAUUAUGGAGCUUCCGAAUCGACGAUCCACUCCAUUAAAUAUGAUCUAAAGUAUUUGAAACUUCUAGAAAAUAAAUUUCGUAAUUUUUCGAAACCAUAAUAAAGUCCAUCAAGCGGGCAUAAAAUGAACGGUCAAAAUCGAACGAUGUCUUAAAAAUGGAUGAUCAGAUCCUCCAAUUUAAGAUUGGAGUUAUUGACCUUUAUCUAGGUAGUGAAUAGAAUUUUCUAUCAAAAAUUCAACCUAUUCGGAUUCUUUUGCACCGUUAAACUAGCAAGUAUUUCAUACCGGUCAUUAAAAAUUGUCAAUUUUGUGAGCUUUUGAUCGUAAGGUAAAUGAUGUCGAAAAAUUAUGAAAUUUGAUUUCUAAAUGUUUUAAAUGCUCUAGAUAACGUUUAAUGGUUGUGUAUCGUUGAUUCGGAAGUUCUAUCAUCGAAAAUAACUUAUGAGGUCAAGGACAAUCGUACGCAUAAUAGUAUAGUAGCCACACAUCAGCAGAACC
Molecule: long non-coding RNA, 911 nt
Filed under: Ananas comosus (pineapple)
Lineage: Eukaryota; Viridiplantae; Streptophyta; Magnoliopsida; Poales; Bromeliaceae
Description: long non-coding RNA (ACOM_LNC000776)
Source: RNAcentral